This 1190-nucleotide long non-coding RNA is filed under the name Gossypium barbadense (sea-island cotton). Its description in RNAcentral is "long non-coding RNA (GBAR_LNC002717)". Lineage: Eukaryota; Viridiplantae; Streptophyta; Magnoliopsida; Malvales; Malvaceae. The record is from RNAcentral.
UUUUAUUUAUUAAAUUAUUUGUAAUUUUUAUGAUUGGGUUGGGUUGGGUUGGGUACUUGGGUUAAUAUAUAUUAGAUUAGGUAUUUGGGUUUAUGUUGGAUUGGGUUUGAGUGAAUAGUGGGCUAUUUAUAUUGUAAAUAGGCCAAUUUGCCCGGGCCCGAAGAAGAACCCAAAAUACAAAAUAAUAAACAAAAAAAUAUUAACAGUCCAUUAAAUGUCCUGGCCCAAUUACAUGACCCAAGACCCAAAUAACAAUCCCAUUUACAGAUAAACCCAGACCCAAAGUUAUAUCGGCCCAAAAGGCCCGAAACAUUUCAGGAAUAGAAAACCUAGGGUUUUGUUCCCCUUUGCGCCGCAGCCACGUUCAGUCUCCAUGCGCCUUCAGCACCGUACGACCACCACGCGCCCCUCCGUACGCCUCACGCCAAGCGCCAGCACAGCCCUGUACUCCGUACCUGCGAAAGAAAACAAACGAAAACAGCAACAGAGUAGUAGCCAAUACGAAAGCAAAGAAAGAAAAAUUGUAUUUUUUAUUUUAUUUUGAUUUUGGCUAUAAAGCCUUGUGGAUUUCGAUUGUAAAGGGCUCUUUUUUUUUACGCGCAUACUACACAAAUUCAAUACAAAGAACCAGCAAAAAAUCAGAAGGUGAUUUGAAUCUUUUUCGUCUUCAAUAUUUUUUUCUUUGCAUGUACCUUGUUUUCUUUUAGAACAUUUUUGAAAAAAAAGAAGAAAGAGAAACGAGAAAUUUACCUUUGUGGAUGCAUCGAUGAGAUCUCGUCUUCUCCGUCAAAGUCGGGGUUAGAGAUGCGAGUGGAAAUGGCUUUUAAGUGUCGAUUUUGAUGGAAACAAAGAAGGCUUCUACGUCUCUCACCAAUUUUAAGGGUGAAUUGAUGAUUAAAUGGCCCUAGGGGAUAAAGGUUGCUGCGCCGAAACCCUAACAAUUGGGUAUUCGGUUUGCAGCUUGGAAAAAUGACAAAAUGCCAUUCAUUUUCUUUAAAUUUUAAGCAUACAACGAAACGACGCCGUUUCAAGGGGAAGGGUCAUGCGUCAACCCGCUCUGGGACGUGGACCCGCACUUUUGUGUUUCGAAUGGGAUAUUUGCACGCCAAGUCCUCCCCUUUCGCAUGCGCAGUCAAUUGCGUCUAGUUUGUUUUGUUUCUUUUUUUUUUAAUUUAGACUUGUAAUUUGCG